GUCUAUGGCCAUACUACCCUGAACGUGCCCGAACUCGUCUGAUCUCAGAAGCUAAGCAGGGUCGGGCCUGGUUAGUACUUGGAUGGGAGACUUUGAAAACCUGUCCAUUUGAAGUCA
RNAcentral lists this ribosomal RNA (117 nucleotides) under Neogale vison (American mink). Lineage: Eukaryota; Metazoa; Chordata; Mammalia; Carnivora; Mustelidae. The record is from RNAcentral.